GACGAACGCUGGCGGCGUGCUUAACACAUGCAAGUCGAACGGAAAGGCCCUGCUUUUGUGGGGUGCUCGAGUGGCGAACGGGUGAGUAACACGUGAGUAACCUGCCCUUGACUUUGGGAUAACUUCAGGAAACUGGGGCUAAUACCGGAUAGGAGCUCCUGCUGCAUGGUGGGGGUUGGAAAGUUUCGGCGGUUGGGGAUGGACUCGCGGCUUAUCAGCUUGUUGGUGGGGUAGUGGCUUACCAAGGCUUUGACGGGUAGCCGGCCUGAGAGGGUGACCGGCCACAUUGGGACUGAGAUACGGCGCAGACUCCAACGGGAGGCAGCAGUGGGGAAUAUUGCACAAUGGGGGGAAGCCUGAUGCAGCAACGCCGCGUGCGGGAUGACGGCCUUCGGGUGGUAAACCGCUUUCGCCUGUGACGAAGCGUGAGUGACGGUAAUGAGUAAAGAAGCACCGGCUAACUACGUG
This 468-nucleotide ribosomal RNA is filed under the name uncultured bacterium. RNAcentral describes it as "partial 16S ribosomal RNA". It matches the Rfam family "Bacterial small subunit ribosomal RNA", at positions 28 to 507 of the family's 1533-position model. The record is from RNAcentral.